CACACACAUGUAAGAGGAGAUUUUUUCUUUUUUAAGUUUGACUAACUUAGCCAAAUCAAAUUCGAAGAGUUUUUGCGCGUUGUCAAUAUUAUUCUUUAUUAAAAUUCAAAAAGGGAAUUUUAUACAAGUGAGGGGGAAAAAAAAAUAAAAGUAACAAUCCAUUUAGUGACGUUGAGCCUAUUGGUCCUAUUUGCAUACAUUUAAAGAUUUAGGAGACUUAUUUUCUUAAAAAAAUAUUUUAUAAAAUAAGGGUCCCUAGAGAAAUUUUUUUACUUUUUUAAUUAAAAGGUUGAGAUUUAAGUUUUUUUUUUUUUUUGGUUUUUUUUUUUGAUAGUUGGUGGCAAGAAAUUCACACACAUUCACUUUACUUUGUCAGAGACUUAAAUUAUCACCAUUCAUUUUGAAAGGUAGAGAAGGUAUUAUUAGGCCACAAAACUCUUGGUUGUUGAGAUUUAAGUUUACACAAGUAAAAAAAAACUGGUGUGUCUGUUUCUUGAAAAAAAAAAAAAAACUUUGAGUCAAUAAUGAUUUUGUGCAAUUAAUUUUUAGUUCAUGGAGGUUUUGUGCAAUUAAUUUUUUGGUUUUAGUCCAAUAAUGAUUUCUCAUAUAAAUGUAAUUUGAGGGUCUAAAUAGUAAAUGCAGCCUUGGAAGUUUUCCUUAUAUUAAAAUUAAAUCUUCAUACUGUAAUGAGCACAAAGAUAGCUAGCUACAAACCUCUUGUGAUCAAUGGCGACGAAGGCAAGAAAAGCCCAGGUUCGAAUCAGAGCGUCGGAAAGUUGUAAAGAUAGCACAAGUGUGGUCUUUGGGUAAUCGAUUUGGCAAAAAGAGUACACCUGAAAGAAACUGUUUUGAAUAUAUUGAUUGCAAGUUUAAGGGGAAGAUAGUUGUUUUCUGGAACAACUUCCAUCUGGGUUGCUUCCGAUCACCGAGCUAUUGUGAAGGAAAGCAGGUGGCAUAGAAAAGGAACUACUAAAUGCUAAAGCAAACUGUAGUGGUGCUUAAAGAAAAGCAAAAGCAAAUACAGAAAGCUUAAGGGUAAGUGACCAUGCCUAUAAAGACACUUUUGAUCUUCAUGCACCAUCUUUAUUCUCUCCUUUAAUCAAAUUUCCAAAUGUCAAAACUGCUUUCUUCACCAAAACUGAACUUUCUGAGAUGCUUCUUUAGAAAUGCAAUUUCCUCUAGGAUGGCAAAUGGAUGAGGUCAGAAAUCUGUGUAUGUUUUGCCGCACUUAAAACUAGGGCAUAUAUAUGAGCCCCAAGUUUGUAAACAUACAUGAACAAUCUUCUACACACAAGUCUACAUUAGUGAAGUAGAAGAUUGUUUGCGCUCCUUUAUAUCCAAAAUUAAGUUGAGUUCAGAUCAAAGCGACAUGAUUUGAGAUCUAAACGAGUCACGCUCAAACUGUUCAUCACUGACCUUUUUUUUGAGUGAAAUAUUGUUUGUUUCUUUUUGAAAUCUUGAAAAAAAAAAUAUGGAUCCCAUUUACUUUCUCUGAUGUUUUGAAAAAAGUAUUUUCUUUUGUAUAUGUAGAGCAUCUUUACUAUGGAUACUGUGAGUAAUGAUGAAAUGUGCCAUGAAUUAGAAAUGUCGGCUAUUGUUAAUUUUUUCAAUUAGGUGGUUUUUGUAAAAAAAUGAUUGAUUUUAGUCGGCCAUACCAGAAGUAUUCUCUCUAUUACAAAUUCUCAGUUAGUAGGAGUCAGAAUGGAGCCAAUGAACUCAUGGCAUAAGAUGAAGGAUGUGUGAGCUUCUUGCCGAGUAAGGGCAAAUCCAGUGCACAAGGUCAUUGCGGGGUCUGGAAAAGAUGCAGUCUUAGCAUUGCAUGCGAGUUGCACCAAAGCUUCUUGUAAAAUAAAAAUAAAAAUAAAAAAUUCAUUGCCCAAGGUUUAACCGACCAAAAUUAGAUUCUCAUAGUUAAACAUGUUGACAUGAUUGCUUUGUGGCAACCAUCAACAACUAUAUUAUACAAUAUCAACAUUGAUUUGUGAUC
Molecule: long non-coding RNA, 1987 nt
Organism: Cornus florida
Lineage: Eukaryota; Viridiplantae; Streptophyta; Magnoliopsida; Cornales; Cornaceae
Exons: 2
Source: RefSeq, a predicted model, not a curated record